This 253-nucleotide ribosomal RNA is filed under the name uncultured bacterium. RNAcentral's name for it is "partial 16S ribosomal RNA". It matches the Rfam family "Bacterial small subunit ribosomal RNA", at positions 524 to 776 of the family's 1533-position model. The record is from RNAcentral.
UACGAACUGUGCGAACGUUAUUCGGAAUCACUGGGCUUACAGGGUGCGUAGGCGGCUUAGCAAGUCAGGUGUGAAAGCCCCCGGCUCAACCGGGGAACUGCGCUUGAAACUGCUGAGCUCGAGUCAGCUAGAGGUACACGGAACUCCCAGUGGAGCGGCGAAAUGUGUUGAUAUUGGAAGGAACACCGGAGGCGAAAGCGGUGUACUGGGGCUGGUCUGACGCUGAGGCGCGAAGGCGUGGGGAGCGAACGGG